GAGUAACACGUAUCCAACCUGCCGAUGACUCGGGGAUAGCCUUUCGAAAGAAAGAUUAAUACCCGAUGGCAUAGUUCUUCCGCAUGGUAGGACUAUUAAAGAAUUUCGGUCAUCGAUGGGGAUGCGUUCCAUUAGCUUGUUGGCGGGGUAACGGCCCACCAAGGCAUCGAUGGAUAGGGGUUCUGAGAGGAAGGUCCCCCACAUUGGAACUGAGACACGGUCCAAACUCCUACGGGAGGCAGCAGUGAGGAAUAUUGGUCAAUGGGCGCUAGCCUGAACCAGCCAAGUAGCGUGAAGGAUGACUGCCCUAUGGGUUGUAAACUUCUUUUAUAUGGGAAUAAAGUGCAGUAUGUAUACUGCUUUGCAUGUACCUUAUGAAUAAGGAUCGGCUAACUCCGUGCCAGCAGCCGCGGUAAUACGGAGGAUCCGAGCGUUAUCCGGAUUUAUUGGGUUUAAAGGGAGCGUAGGCGGGUUGUUAAGUCAGUUGUGAAAGUUUGCGGCUCAACCGUAAAAUUGCAGUUGAUACUGGCAUCCUUGAGUACAGUAGAGGUAGGCGGAAUUCGUGGUGUAGCGGUGAAAUGCUUAGAUAUCACGAAGAACUCCGAUUGCGAAGGCAGCCUGCUGGACUGUAACUGACGCUGAUGCUCGAAAGUGUGGGUAUCAAACAGGAUUAGAUACCCUGGUAGU
RNAcentral lists this ribosomal RNA (687 nucleotides) under uncultured bacterium. Its description in RNAcentral is "bacterial SSU rRNA". It matches the Rfam family "Bacterial small subunit ribosomal RNA", at positions 108 to 794 of the family's 1533-position model. The record is from RNAcentral.